GUUCUCAUACAGCAAUCAUCAUAACAAAUUUAAAUCGUCAAAUUAAACCAAAAUGAGAUCUG
Molecule: non-coding RNA, 62 nt
Filed under: Heterostelium album PN500
Lineage: Eukaryota; Evosea; Eumycetozoa; Acytosteliales; Acytosteliaceae
Source: Rfam by way of RNAcentral